This 539-nucleotide ribosomal RNA is filed under the name uncultured bacterium. RNAcentral describes it as "bacterial SSU rRNA". It matches the Rfam family "Bacterial small subunit ribosomal RNA", at positions 356 to 896 of the family's 1533-position model. The record is from RNAcentral.
GAGGAAUAUUGGUCAAUGGGCGAGAGCCUGAACCAGCCAAGUAGCGUGCAGGAUGACGGCCCUAUGGGUUGUAAACUGCUUUUGUAUGGGGAUAAAGUCAAUCACGUGUGAUUGUUUGCAGGUACCAUACGAAUAAGGACCGGCUAAUUCCGUGCCAGCAGCCGCGGUAAUACGGAAGGUCCGGGCGUUAUCCGGAUUUAUUGGGUUUAAAGGGAGCGUAGGCCGGAGAUUAAGUGUGUUGUGAAAUGUAGACGCUCAACGUCUGACUUGCAGCGCAUACUGGUUUCCUUGAGUACGCACAACGUUGGCGGAAUUCGUCGUGUAGCGGUGAAAUGCUUAGAUAUGACGAAGAACUCCGAUUGCGAAGGCAGCUGACGGGAGCGCAACUGACGCUGAAGCUCGAAGGUGCGGGUAUCGAACAGGAUUAGAUACCCUGGUAGUCCGCACAGUAAACGAUGGAUGCCCGCUGUUGGUACCUGGUAUCAGCGGCUAAGCGAAAGCAUUAAGCAUCCCACCUGGGGAGUACGCCGGCAACGGUG